GGUGAGUAACACGUGGGUGAUCUGCCCUGCACUUCGGGAUAAGCUUGGGAAACUGGGUCUAAUACCGGAUAGGAGCCAUCUUUAGUGUGGUGGUUGGAAAGUUUUUCGGUGUAGGAUGAGCUCGCGGCCUAUCAGCUUGUUGGUGGGGUGAUGGCCUACCAAGGCGACGACGGGUAGCCGGCCUGAGAGGGUGAUCGGCCACAUUGGGACUGAGAUACGGCCCAG
This 225-nucleotide ribosomal RNA is filed under the name uncultured Actinomycetales bacterium. Its description in RNAcentral is "partial 16S ribosomal RNA". It matches the Rfam family "Bacterial small subunit ribosomal RNA", at positions 105 to 334 of the family's 1533-position model. The record is from RNAcentral. Lineage: Bacteria; Bacillati; Actinomycetota; Actinomycetes; Actinomycetales.